Oncorhynchus tshawytscha (Chinook salmon) is the source of this 1259-nucleotide long non-coding RNA. RefSeq lists it as uncharacterized. The record is from RefSeq and is a predicted model, not a curated record. The transcript is spliced from 3 exons. NCBI's taxonomy places the organism in Eukaryota, Metazoa, Chordata, Actinopteri, Salmoniformes, Salmonidae.
UUAAGCAAAUCAAAUCUUUAUUAAAACCUUUAUAACAGGUUCAUAAUCCAAAAUUAAACAGAUUUGACAGAUUUAAAAAUUAAAAAUAAGAGCCAUGUGAAUGACGACAGUGAGACAAAAAGUAGGAAGGAUCCAAAAACAGCAAUGGAGAAAGUGGUCUGGAAACCACAUUUCAUCGCAGGUAGCCACAUUCCACACGUAUAGAGACAGGAAGAUAUCGGUAUUCAGUCCCAGUCGGUAAUGACAUAAUAAUAAGGAAUUCCCCAGACCACGCCCAUAAAUUGGGGAAAACCCGCUGAAAUUCCGACCAAUGGUUCGCAAUGGUCCCACGUUGGGAAAUAGAGCCCUGUGGCUUGAGGCUAUUCGGUGUGGGAAAUGUGGGGACGCGGUGUCCAAGAAGGCUAUACGUAGUAGUGGAAGAUCCAGCCUACCGACGGAGGAGGAGCUGUGACUGUGGACGACGACGAGGUGCCCGUUGAGGUGUUCCAUGGCCUGUCUGUCAGAUGUCUCUACAUAUAUGCUCCCUCCUCUCAAGAUACUACCUUUCUGAACUGCCUAUCAUCUAAAGUUGACCAUCGCCAACAUACUGACAGAUCCCUACCUUUGUUUUGUUAAAUAGUUUCUGGUUACAUUUUGUUUUCAAAGUGACUUUGAGAUUCUGCUUGUAUUGAAAAGCACUAAAUAAAAUACAUAUUUUUAUUAUUAUAUAGAACUUACUUUCAAGUAAAACUUAAACUCUUCUCCUAUACCACUUCACACCUUUUCAGUGCUGACUCUGUAACCCCAGCUCUGAUUAUUCUCCCAUGACUUGCUUCUCCCCUCAUAUUUCUCCAUCUCUCUCUCUGAAAAAGAGGGAUGAAGUCACAGGUGGGGGGUUCACACAUCAAGGAGUAGGGGGUGCGUGCGACGGAAUGAGGCAAAGCGGGUGACAUUUUCAAAGGCAGAUAACGUGGAAGUCAUCAUCUGAGUCAAACAAAGGCUGGGACCCUAUCUGUGUCAACGCAUAGGGGGACGUUGGAGACUCAUUUGCACAUUGUCUAGUGGUGAGUGACCAGGUGAGCAGGUUAAGAGAGCGACAUUGAUGGCGGCUGAAUGUGUUGCUUUUUGAAUAAUUUGUUUGUUGCCAGUAUGUAGACUGUCUGUAUACGUGUGUGUGUAUCGCGGUUUUGUCUCACCAGGGGUGAUGGUCAGAUUCGUGUUACAACGAGGAAUGAGCGUUACACCGAGGCCUGUGCUCUGGAGCAGGAUUGAUUUGAAGG